RNAcentral lists this ribosomal RNA (715 nucleotides) under uncultured bacterium. RNAcentral's name for it is "bacterial SSU rRNA". It matches the Rfam family "Bacterial small subunit ribosomal RNA", at positions 57 to 817 of the family's 1533-position model. The record is from RNAcentral.
GCAAGUCGAACGGACUCUUCGGAGUUAGUGGCGGACGGGUGAGUAACGCGUGAGAAUCUGCCUUCAGGUCUGGGACAACAGAAGGAAACUUCUGCUAAUCCCGGAUGAGCCUUAGGGUAAAAGAUAAAUUGCCUGGAGAUGAGCUCGCGUCUGAUUAGCUAGUUGGUGUGGUAAAAGCAUACCAAGGCAACGAUCAGUAGCUGGUCUGAGAGGAUGAGCAGCCACACUGGGACUGAGACACGGCCCAGACUCCUACGGGAGGCAGCAGUGGGGAAUUUUCCGCAAUGGGCGAAAGCCUGACGGAGCAAGACCGCGUGGGGGAGGAAGGCUCUAGGGUUGUAAACCCCUUUUCUUUGGGAAGAAGAUCUGACGGUACCAAAGGAAUCAGCCUCGGCUAACUCCGUGCCAGCAGCCGCGGUAAUACGGAGGAGGCAAGCGUUAUCCGGAAUGAUUGGGCGUAAAGCGUCCGUAGAUGGCCAUGUAAGUCUGCUGUCAAAACCCAGGGCUCAACUCUGGUCAGGCAGUGGAAACUACAAAGCUAGAGUUUGGUAGGGGCAAAGGGAAUUCCCGGUGUGGCGGUGAAAUGCGUAGAUAUCGGGAAGAACAUCGGUGGCGAAAGCGCUUUGCUAGACCAAAACUGACAUUGAGGGACGAAAGCUAGGGGAGCGAAUGGGAUUAGAUACCCCAGUAGUCCUAGCCGUAAACGAUGGAUACU